This is a long non-coding RNA of Dalotia coriaria, 1045 nucleotides long. RefSeq lists it as uncharacterized. The transcript is spliced from 3 exons. The record is from RefSeq and is a predicted model, not a curated record. NCBI's taxonomy places the organism in Eukaryota, Metazoa, Arthropoda, Insecta, Coleoptera, Staphylinidae.
UUUUGUUCAAUCGGUGCGAUAACGACGAGCACACAUUCCACACUUUCGGCUUGUGUUAUUCGUUGUUGCAUGUUCGGUACAACGUGUUAUAUUUUCUAAAUUGCCGGUGAUAAUUAGUGUUAAUAAACGUAUUUGAUCUUUUAUCAGCUAUUUAUCGCGUGUGUAAUCUUCGUAAUUCUAAAUUUUGUGCGUUUAAUUUAUUAACGUGUUUGUGAGUCGGUUGUCGUCGGGCGCCGACCUGCGAUAUAUUGUGAACGCUUAUCAAUUAAUUGACUUGUGAAAAAAAUAUUUGUCAUCAACAGAGGAGCAUGGAUCAUUCUGCUACCAGUGUUCGCCAACUUGUCGUCGAUAUCCAAUCUUCCAUAACCGAUGUCAAGGAGUUGAACGUGACCACCGUGUACAAUCGUGCCCGCAUUCAAUUGUGAGUAUUGAAAUUCUUAUCACUUUCAUAUCUGCUUUGUUUACGUAGCCUGCAAUAUCUUUUCCUUGUUUAGUCGAUCGUGCGAUGUUGUUCGGUACACACGUGUUUUGUUCACAAUUUGAUCUUCAUAACUAGUUUGCGCGUUUCUUGUGAUUUUACGUGGGUAGUUGAAUUAGAAUCGAUCAGCAAUGAUAACAUUUAGAAUUAACGGACUAGUGCGGCGUACAGUUAAUGAAUUAUCGCGCGUGGAAGUCAGAAUUGUGUAGUUUUACAAUGUGCGCACGUUUUUGGCCGUCGGGCGUCGGAUAUCUUACGUCAGAGAAGUCCGUCCCAGUGAUUUUAUUUGCGUAAUGAUAUUAAUUUGUGAAACUAAACACUGUUUGUUCCUGUGUGGAACAUUUUAACCGAGAAAGUGCACGUAGGUAACUGCAGCAUUUACAUUCGACGAAUUAAACAAUUAGUGAAGAUGUUUCAUGGACGAAAUGAUUUUAUCAGAAGUUAAGGAAAAGCGAGGUAACCGUUGAAUAAGUAAAUAUUCUGAAAAUAAUUCGAUUUUAACAAAUAAUUUUAAAAUUUAACAUGUACUCAUGUGAUUGCAUGCAAUAAACUAUACUUUUAAUAUUA